Long non-coding RNA from Tigriopus californicus, 7220 nucleotides. RefSeq lists it as uncharacterized. NCBI's taxonomy places the organism in Eukaryota, Metazoa, Arthropoda, Copepoda, Harpacticoida, Harpacticidae. The transcript is spliced from 3 exons. The record is from RefSeq and is a predicted model, not a curated record.
AGCAGUGGCUAGAGAACGAGAACGAGAGCGGGAACUGGAAUCUUUCGCCCGAGAACUCGUGGCGGAACUUGACGGAAAAUGACAAAAGAGGCGUUGACGCACCAGCGUCACGACCGGAUUUGAAUUGGCCAAAGCGCUUUCUGGUGCAUCCUCUGCUGGUGGAGAUGGUGGUCUCGUGGUGCUGGUGGAAGAGUUGGUCGAGGAGAGAAUAUUGUGCAUGAGCAACACGAGGAGCUGAACCCGGGGACGGACGAUCGAGGCCGAGAGUGCACGCUCGAGUUGAGGCCCCCAAGAGUCCAAAACGUCAAUGCGCCAUCUCAUCAAAACAGAACGUGAGGAAGUUUGAGGCUUCAGUCGACCCGCAGUGAUACACGGAGAAAGAGAGAGGAGGAGUAGGAGGAGGAGGAGGAGAUGAUGAUACAACAACAACAACAGCCGCAACCAUAUAGCCAAUGGCCACAACAUUGACAACAUCGACGACAACAACGACAACAACAACCACACCAUCGACGAAGGAUUCCAUUUCCCUUCUCCACUCUACGGAGCUCGGAGCUCUUGGAAGACCCAAGUGGAACAACUCUCACGGACUCGCCAAGACUCACUUACGCUCAUCCUUUUUGAGCGAAGAUCGGAUCGACGAGAGAGUCUGUCCAGAGGGUAAGAAGGGAUAUGUGAAGAAUUCAGUUUCUCCUCCCCGACCUCCGAAGUCGACUCCAUUCAAAAUGGAGGCCACUUUCCCAUUCAACACCACCCGAUUGGGAGAGUGGCCUUCAUUCUCCACUGUCUCUCUGACCAAACCAAAGAAGCAGCUCAACAAAAAUGUCUACCUCAAACGACCCUCUAAUCAUCGUGGGCUGCGUAGAAACUGACAACCACUCGCACAACCUGACGGCCUGUCUCCUCACGUGGGUUGAUAAUGGUUGUUGGUUGUCUUCCUCGACUCCUUAGACUUCUUCGUCUGCUGCCGGUGUUGCACGUUCCGGCCAAAGUUGUCACAAUUGUGAAUUGAUGCACAACUUUCGAUCCACGACAUCGACUGCACCUUGUCAAUUGUUUUGUCAUUGUCGUGCUCGACUUUCGAGAGAAGUGCAUCAUGGCCAAUGAGAGACGGUGAGACUGUGCCAUCCCGAGGUCCAAAUCAAGCCAGGUAUGGUGUUGUUGUCCACCAUGGCGGUGGCUGUGAUACUGAUGAUGAUGAUGGAGAUGAUCCUCCCACUGAAGUCAUGCUUGGAGCUGGCAUGAAAAUUGGUUUCAACAGCAAACCAAUGAAUUUUCUUCUCAUGAUAUCGAAGGCUAAUCAAAUUUCAUCCAUUCUUGAUCACCAUCCAUCAGUGCUGAAAACCUUAUUGGUUCUUUUUGCUCCUCAAUGAAAACGAAGUUGAAGAUUGGAUAUCGACUUUGAUGCUGAUAACAGGUUGGUUUCCCGAUUUCCAUCCGAAUUAGUUUUGUGCUCCCAUCAUGAACCAACCAUCCAGAGCGAGGGAAGGCACGAAGAAAAGAUCCCACCAUCCUUGCCCGCUUGCCCGUUUGCCCGCUUGCCCGCUGGCAUGCCUGCUCAGUUACUCAGUUGCUCACUUGCUCACCCUCCGAGUCCGCGUCGUUCCACGGAAAAUGGAAAAGCCAAUUCGAUCAUGAUGAUUUCCAUCUCAUUGUUGUUGAACUGUCGACGGCGACGUGGUCGCACGUCCUCGUCUGUUGUUGCCAUCUUGGACCAUCAUUUGGAAGUCUAAUCACGUCCUUCAGUCGGCGACCCUUUGGAAAUGUGAACAAGCGAGUGAGUGAGACUCAGAGAACGAGAGAGCCUCUUUGGCCACGGGUCCAUGAAAUCAAUCCCGUUAGCCUCAGGGAUUCACAAUGGAGUCAGCAGCCAGACUAGAAAAGGGUAGCCAGAAAUCUCAUGGACAUCCCAUCGAAGUUUUUGGAGCACACUAAACAAAAAGACCUAUCCAGAUGGACGACCAGUCAUGGGAACAACGUCUCUGGACGCAAAAAAGCGUUUUAGUCCUGAUGAUGAACCCAAAGUUGCAUCCCAUCCACGACCACCACCACAGCUUGAAUGGGGAUGGCUAUAGACAAAAAAGACCCUGACCCAAACUUGUCCCUUGAUUUAAUGACCCUUGGCUCGGAUAAGACGACGAUGAUCACGACGAAGACGGAGACUCAUUCAUUCAUUCAUUUCUGAUUUCUCAACACAUAUUGUGACCACCUUCAUCAAAAGGAUCCAUUCUCUCCCAAAGUGCUAUCAACCCUGAUGUUCCCAUUGCCAAACUUCUUGCGAUUAUCUUCUGGGCCACAUUUCAAAUUUGUUCAGUUCCUUCAGUUCCUGUGGUUCUCAUCAAGCCCCUUCCGUGAUACUUUCUCAAUGAGUUCAGUUCAAACCCACCCACCCACAAACCUUUGGAAAAAGAGAAGAAUGAAAAAACACUUGCCAAAAAAAAAAGAAUCCACUUUAUUGCAAAGGCCAGCACCACAAGAGGCCAUACCCACAAAAGGCCAAGAAUCCGGUCUUCCGCCUCCAUUUUACGUUCAAUGGAAAUAUCCGAGAAUGAAGAAGCUAUAAGUGAGGUCUCAAGUCAUGCGGUAAGUCGAGAUUCAAAAUUCCGAUUCGUAGUCAUGAAAAGCACACUCAUAUAUUGGUAGUACGACAAGCUGUCUGCGUAUCGAUUCGUUUGUGACCCCACUCCGUUUGAAGCGGACUCAUGUUGACACUCUUGGGAUCCCUGCUUACGGCAAAACAAGUUGUCAAAUACCCCAUCGCCUCCUGUUUCUUCUCCUCCUGCCCCCAGUUUAAACUACGGUCUUUCAAUUGAGUUUUCAACACUUCAGAGUGACUCUCGUUCUCUCUCUUUGUCGUGGAGUGGCUUAGAGAAACAUUGCUGGUGUUGGACUCCCAAUGACAUCCUAAUUGUUCGUCUCAAUUUCCAAGAAGAACGAACGACUCAGUUCUCGCCCACCCUAGAAUCAUCCCUUCGAGGAUGCACAAAGUUGUUUCUCUAAGUCGCGCUUUGUUCGGUUUAAAACGUGUAUAUCGACAUGUACCAUAAGAAAUCUGGGUAGUUAAAGACAAUUUUUUGUUUUCAGUCCAUAUCUUCACUUUUUGAUCCGUAUCGAUCUCUCCUACCCCCCCCGCCCUUUUUUGUCCAAAGUUGUCCAAAGAACAAGCACGUCACCUCAAAAUUCGAACCAUUGGAUCCCCUAUUUGCUGAUGUCCUUUUGGUGCCCCCACCAACCACCCUCUCUCGUGCGUAUGGAGUUUGAGUGUUUUUUUCCCAUUUUUCAUUGAGUUCCAAAUUCAGUUCUGCCUGCAAACGCAAUUUUUCCCCUUCAAUAUAUGACAAAAAAGGAAAUCCCAACUUAGAAAAAAAAUCAGUUCUCUUCCUGAAGUAUCACCACCCACGUUACCAUUAUUGCCACCACCACCACCACCACCACCAUCAUCAUCUCCUCCUUCCUUACCGAAGAACUAUUUCUUCUCUAAGAAAAAAUCUACUACUAGACCACAUGUGACUGAGUCAAGCGACAAAAUUGAGAAUGGCUCAAGUUGUAUACCCUAUAUCCACCAUCAUGUAUAACUUGACUGACCAUUACGCGAUCGAUGCCCUUUUACGUCUAAUUUGGAACAUCCAUCUCCUGCUAAGAAGAACACACACACACACACAAAGAGUAGAGGGCGCUUACGAAAAUAAGUCCAGCUUGCUUUCACACCUCUUUGUUGUGGGCGAGUCGGAUCAUCUGUUUAUACUCGCAAGUCUUUCAUAACCAAUCUACCAGAAGUCUUUCGUCUUUUAUGCUAAGAUCCUGAUCAAGUACAAACCAACUCACCCCUACUACUAUUACAACCACCAUCAACAACAACAUCAACAACAACAACACCACCAACAACAACAACAACAACCAACAAAAACAUCCAAUUGAACUUCAAAUUCGCACCCCUGAAGCGAUUCAUUUACUACAAACUUGACUGCUACUAAUAUCCGUCCCCAUGUUAGAUAAUGAGAGCUUAGUCGCUAAAGUGCCGCCCCCUCACAUACCCGUGAAGUCUUUCAAAUAGACCAAUCCGAUGGCUGACAUUGCUCAGAUCGAUUGGUAUUCACUACGUACAUGUCUUUCAAUUGUCCUUGACCUAUUCGCCCUGUUCUUGCCAUCCAUGGCGUGUUCGGCUUUCAAGGCUUAGGUGGCGUCCUCGUGUGGUAAAGUUUAUGCCACCGGUUACUUUCCGGAUGCUUCUUAUGUCAUUGGUGCCGGUUCGUCCGUAAGAAUCGAGAUCGGGUGGGUAGCGAUAGGACUGGCUACUUUCCUGGUUUGGCAUUAUCUGAGAUGGGGACCGAUCGAGCAGAUCUCACAGCUCACACAACGGUCUUUCAAUUCCUAUCAAAAAUGUUUGAAUCCCUUGCUUACCAAGGCAGUCUUACUACGCGUGGCAAGUGCAUUCAUUCCCUCCUUUGCGUCUUUCUCCCACACCCCCAAAAAUGUAUUCUAUUUUAUUUUCAUUUGUUUUUGGAGCAUUCAUAACGAGAAAUCCAGUCUUUCAUUUAUCACUACCACUCCAAUUACUUCGACUUCAGUGCAACUUCAACUUCUACUACGUCCGCGAUGGUGUGUCCCGCUUGAUCAUUAAAAUUCGUCGUCGUUGCUGUUGUUAUUGUCCCCCGGUCUCCUAAUCCUCAUCACCAUCCUCAUCAUCUCCGUCUUUCGAACUCUCACUCUCACCCUGUCUCUUCAUCAGUUGGGGGGGUCUCUCCAUCCAUUAAAGAGCCCCCUUGUCUUUGCAAUGCAGACCUUUCAUUACUUACGAAAUUACUCACAGCGCCAUGGCUUCCUUCAAAAUACUCCUUGCAACCCCAAGAGCUACUUACUAGUCCUUAGUAUGUACUUGAACGAUUCAGACUUUAUCCACCAAAAACACCAUUGCAUUCAUUUCACCUUUCUCUAAUCCUCAUUGCUAUCUAGCAUAUACCUAGUGUACAGAGUAGUCUCCUUCUAAUCAUCGGAAAAAUUAUUCACGUUUGAGGUAAACUAGCUCUUAAUAAUGUUAGAUAACAUCAUCGCCAUUGUUGGUUCAUUAUAUCAUGUUCAUUGUACUCAUUAUUCAUUAUGCAACCCAGAAGUCUUUCUGUUCAUGAGAUGUCCAUUCAUCUCUGGGGCAAAUUUUGGAAAAGAAGUUAAAACUCGAAAAGCACGUGUUUGUGUCUUUCUUGGUGGUCUUUCAGUAUCUUUUAAGGAUCCCACACUAAUCACUCUUGGGUGAUUAGCCAACCCAUUUAAUUCGAGUCUUUCAUAAUCAUUAUUUGUAAAAGUCUUUCAUCUUGAUUUGAACAAUGUUGUCCCUGGUAAUUGACUCAAAACUCCCGCUUUUAAUAGUGGAGAUUUGUCCACAAUUUCAGGGUUCCCACUUGUUGCUGAGGUCUUUCAUAAGUUGAUAAACAAACAACCACGACAAACGGGUUUCACCCCUAGAGUCUUUCAGUUAUAUUCUCAUUGGUCUUUCAUCUGUUUCUCUCAAGUUUUGAGUUCAUGCAUCGUCUUUCAUUGCUUGCUACGUUUUUGUUUCAUUAACAAAUGGUUAUCUUGCAAACAAGCACCCUAUCAAGUCUUUCAAUUUGACAUCUUGAAUCAUCUUGUGCUUCUUUUCAAGUGUGUACGUGUAUGAAUAAGAUCCCAAGAAGUCUUUCAUUCACCGAUCUUUCAUUCAAAAUCCCAAAUUCAACGUUUUUUUUAACCUUUUGCGGAGCUUCUUUUGCGAACAAUGCCAGUUCUUGUGCUCAUUGCACUUCAUGAUUACCAUGAGAUAAUGAUACCAGCCAGCUCUUCCCUUGAUUCCAACCCAUUGUCUUUCAUUCAAGUAAAUGUAGCCCCCGAACAGAUUGACUAUUUGCACGUAUACCAUUUGAAUACUUGGGGAUUUGCUACUGAAAAAAAUGAACAAAACAGUAAAUUGAGAGUCGGUUUCUUUCUUACCUCAGCUCUUUCAAUUGGAUAGCUGCUUCUUUCUCUCUUUUCAUGUCUUUCUUGUUAGUGUGAUAGAAAAUAUAUAUGAUUUAUACAUGUCAGGGCACUAUCGGAUGAGUACAAAUUCAAAAAUUCCAUUUCUGAGCUGAAACAAGCCUUCAAACUGGCUAAAUUCGCUCAUGGUCACAAAACCAUCACCACACCCCACACCCCAGUUUCUGUCAAGAAGAUUGUCUUUUCACCGCUUGAGAGCACGCCCACCUUUUACUUGUUUUGACUAAUACCAUUCUUGGUGCAAUUAAGGCCCCCAAAUUGGAAAAAUGUUCAAACUUUAGCUAACUUCAAAAUCAAAUCGUCAUCUUGUUAGGUGUCUCGGUUUCAAUGUCUAUCAGGCGAUGAAAAGGCUCUCUGACUUUUCAGGGCUGUCCCCGUCUUUCACCAAUUCAUGAUUUGAUCGCGUCUUUCAAACCCAAUCACCGAAAUUUCGUCUUUCUAAACCAAUUUGUAUCUGUACAUAAUAAUUCUGACACUCCUCCUUCCUAAUUCUAUUCGUGUUGUUCUGUGUUUCUUAUUUUACCCCUGAAAACACGAUCAUUGUAUUCCUAGCGAGUUAGAACGAGAGUGUCUGGGUUCCAAACGAAUCGAUGCCAAAACUUAGAGAGUGCUUUCAUAUGGCUCGAAUCGGGAUCGAGAGUUCUCGACUUUUCGGGUGACUUGUGGACAUGCGUAUGCGUGAUUUGUAUUACCCGAGUGAAACCAGUUGAGAUGAAUUAUUGUAAUGCUAUUAAAUCUAAAAAUUGCAACUUCGAGUUUGUACCGUGUAAAUGCGUGUGUGACCCUGUGCGACAAAAAGGCCGAGUUCAAUUCUUGUUCACUUGUUUUAGUUUGGCCUCAGUUUGGCCCUGUCCAGCCACAACCACAGUUCUUGACUUGAUUUAGUUAUCACCCCCACUUCCGGGGAAGGGUAAUUGAUUAGUAAGCUGCACAAGUAAACUAUGCUCCCCACAACCUUCUAUUGAUGAUGACACCCAUUGUUGUAAUGAGGCGGCUGUGCCAACGAGUAGGCCAAUUCCAUGAUGACAUUGAUGAUGCACAUAUAGGUACUGUACAAGAUACGAUGAAAGGUUAUGGCUUCAUAAUCUUCUACAUUUGAGCUGAUAUAUCGAAGCCCCUAUCAGAGUGUACUCCAAGAAGUAUGAUGAUAAAACAAAAACUAUCAGAAAAAAAACGGAUGCAAAAAACGCAAAUACAACAUGUUGUUUGAAAAAUGA